ACUUCAGAAUCACCUGGAGAACUUUAGAACACACUGAUGCCUGGGCCGUUUCUGGGAUGCUGUAAAUCCGAGUCUCUGGGGAACGGGACCGAGCCAUCCACACUGCAGUUUAAAUAUUUUCCCAGGUGGUUCUAAUGAACAGCCAGAGCUGAGACGCGCUCGGACAUUGUUGUAACCUGGCUUUGAGACGCUGAGUUUCUAAAUGCACCGCAAAAGGGAGGCAGAUUUUCACCAGGGAAGCAGUGUUUCAGGAGAAUCUUGAAAUAGAGACACUCGUUCACCUGAUUGGCAACGGCAGCUUGAGUCAUGAGGACAAAAGCAAACAGUUGAAUUUUUAUGUAAAUAUUUCAGGAGAUUCAGCUAACCAACAAAGAUGCUAAAAGGAGCCUAAGAGUUGAAAGAUAUCAAAUCAUCAUCAGUGCCGUCUGCACUGGACUCCUCCAUAUGUAAUGGGCACACAGUAAGGAUCAGUGACUAUGUCCGCAUACUCACGUAGACACACAAAAACUUCUCUGAGAAGUUUAGAAGUUUCACAGACCUUUGGAGCCACAUCACCAGGCCUGUGGUUCCCAGAUUACAAAAGCUUGAAAAAGAUUGUGACUCCUAGAAAGCAGGAGCCACGUCCUUCAAAUUCUACGACACCAGCGCCAAGCACAAGCCAGACCUGUUGAAGAAGGAGAGAAUUCCACACCCGCCAUCCAUUUGAUCAUUCGCCAAGUGAUUACAAUUUCCACAGUUGUUACACCAACUCAGCUGGAGUCCUGUUGUAUAUUGAGAAGUAACCUGCAUUCUAGACGAGCUCAACAGAUAAGAGAAUAUGGCUCCAUGAAUCCACGGUGAGCUUUUCAAUGCUUAGCAGCUUCUGUUCCUGGAGGGCCGGUGCGCCUCUGGGAAACAUUGUCACCCCCCUCUCUCACCUUGAAGUCGAGGACCUCUUCACACAGAGAAUGCAGUUGAAGCCUUCUCCAGAGCGGAAGGAAGAGCUGAGGAGAGCCGGUUUCUUGGCACAGUAAAUUACUCUUUAUGAAAAGUCUUUUAUAUGCUUCUCACAAGCCAUCAGCGCAGUUAAGAAUGAUGUCACCCGGCCGCUCUUGAAUCCUAAGUCUCAGCAGCAGGAGGGUGUCAUGCACAAGAGGCAACAGAGCCCAGGGAGCGAGGCCACAGUGCUUGAGACAGAAGUCAGGGCUCCCCCAACACCGCACAGAAUUCUGCUGGCAUUUUUAAAUGCUCUACAGAAUCUUUCUCAGUUAGAGAAAUGUCAUCUGCCCUCUCCCCUCCCAUGUCCUUCCCUUCUUGUUUUUCUCUUUAGCCCUUCACUCUAUUUUCUCUACUUUUCCAACAGUGAAAUACUCAGCCUCAGGACCCACUGAGUUAUCUCAUUUUGUUUCGUUUUUUUCUUGAUAGCCUCUGUAUUGGAUUGAAUAAUGUCCCCCCCCCGCCAAAAAAAAUCUAUGUGCUUCCUGGAACCUCAGAAUGUGACCUUAUUUGGAAAUAGGGCCACUGAAGAUGUAAUUAGUUAAGACGAGGUCACACUGGCAUAAGUUGGGCCCUUAAUCCAAUAUGAGGUGUCCUUACAAGAAGAGAAGAAGAGUCUCAGAGACAAACACACAGCUAAGAAGGCCACGGAAGAGGGAGGCAGAGAUCAGAGUGAUGAACCCACAAGCCCAGGAACUCCAAGGACUGCCUGCCACCACGGGAGGAAGCUGGAAGAGGCAAGGAAGGAUUCUUCCACAGAGCCUUCUGGGAGAACGCUGCCCUGCCAACACCUGGAUUUUGGACUUCUGACCUCCAGAACUGGAAGCAGUAGGCCGGAACUGUCUCUGGUCGUUCCUGCAUCCCCACACGCUGGCCCUGCCGUCAUCCAUGGAGCAAGCUCAUGACCAGCAAGAAAAAUGAGACCCCACAGAGAGAGGCCAGGCAGAGAGAUGAAGAGGAACAAGGAGGGGCCAAGCGACAGGCCAAGGAUGUCACUG
Equus asinus (donkey) is the source of this 1973-nucleotide long non-coding RNA. The record is from Ensembl. NCBI's taxonomy places the organism in Eukaryota, Metazoa, Chordata, Mammalia, Perissodactyla, Equidae.